This 492-nucleotide ribosomal RNA is filed under the name uncultured bacterium. Its description in RNAcentral is "partial 16S ribosomal RNA". It matches the Rfam family "Bacterial small subunit ribosomal RNA", at positions 30 to 507 of the family's 1533-position model. The record is from RNAcentral.
AUUGAACGCUGGCGGCAUGCUUUACACAUGCAAGUCGAACGGUAACAGGCCUUCGGGUGCUGACGAGUGGCGAACGGGUGAGUAAUGCAUCGGAACGUGCCCAGAGGUGGGGGAUAACGCAGCGAAAGCUGUGCUAAUACCGCAUGUGAUCUGAGGAUGAAAGCGGGGGACCAGGCAGCAAUGUUUGGCCUCGCGCCUUUGGAGCGGCCGAUGUCAGAUUAGGUAGUUGGUGGGGUAAAGGCCUACCAAGCCGACGAUCUGUAGCUGGUCUGAGAGGACGACCAGCCACACUGGGACUGAGACACGGCCCAGACUCCUACGGGAGGCAGCAGUGGGGAAUUUUGGGCAAUGGGCGCAAGCCUGAUCCAGCAAUGCCGCGUGCGGGAAGAAGGCCUUCGGGUUGUAAACCGCUUUUGUACGGAACGAAAAGGCUCUGGCUAAUACCUGGGGCUGAUGACGGUACCGUAAGAAUAAGCACCGGCUAACUACGUG